RNAcentral lists this ribosomal RNA (951 nucleotides) under Frondihabitans sp. Its description in RNAcentral is "bacterial SSU rRNA". It matches the Rfam family "Bacterial small subunit ribosomal RNA", at positions 472 to 1421 of the family's 1533-position model. Lineage: Bacteria; Bacillati; Actinomycetota; Actinomycetes; Micrococcales; Microbacteriaceae. The record is from RNAcentral.
ACGGUACCAGCAGAAAAAGCACCGGCUAACUACGUGCCAGCAGCCGCGGUAAUACGUAGGGUGCAAGCGUUGUCCUGAAAUUAUUGGGCGUAAAGAGCUCGUAGGCGGUUUGUCGCGUCUGCUGUGAAAUCUGGGGGCUCAACCCCCAGCCUGCAGUGGGUACGGGCAGACUAGAGUGCGGUAGGGGAGAUUGGAAUUCCUGGUGUAGCGGUGGAAUGCGCAGAUAUCAGGAGGAACACCGAUGGCGAAGGCAGAUCUCUGGGCCGUUACUGACGCUGAGGAGCGAAAGCAUGGGGAGCGAACAGGAUUAGAUACCCUGGUAGUCCAUGCCGUAAACGUUGGGAACUAGAUGUAGGGGCCAUUCCACGGUUUCUGUGUCGCAGCUAACGCAUUAAGUUCCCCGCCUGGGGAGUACGGCCGCAAGGCUAAAACUCAAAGGAAUUGACGGGGGCCCGCACAAGCGGCGGAGCAUGCGGAUUAAUUCGAUGCAACGCGAAGAACCUUACCAAGGCUUGACAUAUACCGGAAACGUCCAGAGAUGGUCGCCCCGCAAGGUCGGUAUACAGGUGGUGCAUGGUUGUCGUCAGCUCGUGUCGUGAGAUGUUGGGUUAAGUCCCGCAACGAGCGCAACCCUCGUUCUAUGUUGCCAGCACGUUAUGGUGGGAACUCAUAGGAGACUGCCGGGGUCAACUCGGAGGAAGGUGGGGAUGACGUCAAAUCAUCAUGCCCCUUAUGUCUUGGGCUUCACGCAUGCUACAAUGGCCGAUACAAAGGGCUGCAAUACCGUAAGGUGGAGCGAAUCCCAAAAAGUCGGUCUCAGUUCGGAUUGAGGUCUGCAACUCGACCUCAUGAAGUCGGAGUCGCUAGUAAUCGCAGAUCAGCAACGCUGCGGUGAAUACGUUCCCGGGCCUUGUACACACCGCCCGUCAAGUCAUGAAAGUCGGUAACACC